UACUAUGCUUAACCAUAAACAUUGUUAUUAUUAGACCUACCUUAAUACCCGCCCGAGUACUACAAGCGCUAGCUUCAAACCCAAAGGACUUGGCGGUGCUCCAAACCCAUCUAGAGGAGCCUGUUCUAUAACCGAUGAUCCGCGUUUAACCUCACCACUUCUUGCCCUAAACCGCCUAUAUACCGCCGUCGCCAGCUCACCCUAUGAAGGUUUAACAGUAAGCAAAAUGACCCUCCCUCAACACGUCAGGUCGAGGUGUAGCGAAUGAAGUGGGAAGAAAUGGGCUACAUUCUCUAUCAAGAGCACACGAAAAGAAGCAUGAAAACCCUCUCAAAGGUGGAUUUAGCAGUAAGUGAACUUUAGAACAUUACACUGAAACCGGCUCUGGAGCGCGCACACACCGCCCGUCACUCUCCUCGAAUAACUCCCUUAACCUUUAUAAAAACUUUUAUCAACAAGAGGAGGCAAGUCGUAA
RNAcentral lists this ribosomal RNA (475 nucleotides) under Aetobatus ocellatus. RNAcentral's name for it is "partial small subunit ribosomal RNA". It matches the Rfam family "Bacterial small subunit ribosomal RNA", at positions 788 to 1491 of the family's 1533-position model. The record is from RNAcentral. Lineage: Eukaryota; Metazoa; Chordata; Chondrichthyes; Myliobatiformes; Myliobatidae.